UGGGGAAUAUUGGACAAUGGGCGAAAGCCUGAUCCAGCCAUGCCGCGUGUGUGAAGAAGGCCUUUUGGUUGUAAAGCACUUUAAGUGGGGAGGAAAAGCUUAUGGUUAAUACCCAUAAGCCCUGACGUUACCCACAGAAUAAGCACCGGCUAACUCUGUGCCAGCAGCCGCGGUAAUACAGAGGGUGCAAGCGUUAAUCGGAAUUACUGGGCGUAAAGCGCGCGUAGGUGGUUAUUUAAGUCAGAUGUGAAAGCCCCGGGCUUAACCUGGGAACUGCAUCUGAUACUGGAUAACUAGAGUAGGUGAGAGGGGAGUAGAAUUCCAGGUGUGGCGGUGAAAUGCGUAGAGAUCUGGAGGAAUACCGAUGGCGAAGGCAGCUCCCUGGCAUCAUACUGACACUGAGGUGCGAAAGCGUGGGUAGCAAACAGGAUUAGAUACCCUGGUAGUCCACGCCGUAAACGAUGUCUACCAGUCGUUGGGUCUUUUAAAGACUUAGUGACGCAGUUAACGCAAUAAGUAGACCGCCUGGGGAGUACGGCCGCAAGGUUA
This 549-nucleotide ribosomal RNA is filed under the name uncultured bacterium. Its description in RNAcentral is "bacterial SSU rRNA". It matches the Rfam family "Bacterial small subunit ribosomal RNA", at positions 355 to 896 of the family's 1533-position model. The record is from RNAcentral.